Molecule: ribosomal RNA, 433 nt
Filed under: uncultured bacterium
Lineage: Bacteria
Description: partial 16S ribosomal RNA
Rfam family: Bacterial small subunit ribosomal RNA
Source: RNAcentral
AACGAACGCUGGCGGCAUGCCUAACACAUGCAAGUCGAACGAGACCUUCGGGUCUAGUGGCGCACGGGUGCGUAACGCGUGGGAACCUGCCCUUAGGUUCGGAAUAACUCCCCGAAAGGGGUGCUAAUACCGGAUAAUGUCUUCGGACCAAAGAUUUAUCGCCUUUGGAUGGGCCCGCGUUGGAUUAGCUAGUUGGUAGGGUAAAAGCCUACCAAGGCGACGAUCCAUAGCUGGUCUGAGAGGAUGAGCAGCCACACUGGGACUGAGACACGGCCCAGACUCCUACGGGAGGCAGCAGUGGGGAAUAUUGGACAAUGGGCGAAAGCCUGAUCCAGCAAUGCCGCGUGAGUGAUGAAGGCCUUAGGGUUGUAAAGCUCUUUUACCCGGGAUGAUAAUGACAGUACCGGGAGAAUAAGCGCCGGCUAACUCCGUG